This 76-nucleotide transfer RNA is filed under the name Nonomuraea sp. C10. RNAcentral describes it as "tRNA-Ala". It matches the Rfam family "tRNA". Rfam says of the family: Transfer RNA (tRNA) molecules are approximately 80 nucleotides in length. Their secondary structure includes four short double-helical elements and three loops (D, anti-codon, and T loops). Lineage: Bacteria; Bacillati; Actinomycetota; Actinomycetes; Streptosporangiales; Streptosporangiaceae. The record is from RNAcentral.
GGGGCCUUAGCUCAGCUGGCAGAGCGCCUGCUUUGCAAGCAGGAAGUCAGGAGUUCGAAUCUCCUAGGCUCCACCU